Molecule: ribosomal RNA, 424 nt
Filed under: uncultured Planctomyces sp.
Lineage: Bacteria; Pseudomonadati; Planctomycetota; Planctomycetia; Planctomycetales; Planctomycetaceae
Description: bacterial SSU rRNA
Rfam family: Bacterial small subunit ribosomal RNA
Source: RNAcentral
UCGAGAAUCUUCGGCAAUGGGCGCAAGCCUGACCGAGCGACGCCGCGUGCGGGAUGAAGGCCCUUGGGUUGUAAACCGCUGUCAGAGGGGAUGAAGUGCGGGUGGGCAAUCCCAUCCGUUUGACAUAGCCUCAGAGGAAGCACGGGCUAAGUUCGUGCCAGCAGCCGCGGUAAUACGAACUGUGCAAACGUUAUUCGGAAUCACUGGGCUUAAAGGGUGCGUAGGCGGCCAUUUAAGUAGGGUGUGAAAGCCCCCGGCUCAACCGGGGAAUUGCGUCCUAAACUGGGUGGCUCGAGUGAGAUAGAGGUGUGUGGAACUUCCAGUGGAGCGGUGAAAUGUGUUGAUAUUGGAAGGAACGCCGGUGGCGAAAGCGACACACUGGGUCUCAACUGACGCUGAGGCACGAAAGCCAGGGGAGCGAACG